Molecule: long non-coding RNA, 1124 nt
Organism: Myotis lucifugus (little brown bat)
Lineage: Eukaryota; Metazoa; Chordata; Mammalia; Chiroptera; Vespertilionidae
Exons: 3
Source: RefSeq, a predicted model, not a curated record
GAAAUGCUCUCUGUCCGGGGGCUCGGGUCUAAUUGGCAAAAAGAAAAGAAAUAGGGGUCCCACAAUGCAGAUAUGACUGCUAGAAAAGGCAAAGCAAACUAAUUUGCGUUUUGAAAGUGCACGCGUGUGUAAGACCGUAGAAAUAUAAAAAAGACUCUGCUUGGUGUGCGCCUUUCCCCCUCGGGAGAGCGAGCGGUUGUUGCUGAAUCCCAGGGACUUAAGUGGGAUUAGGAGCUGCCUGCGCCUGCGUGGGGCAGAGAUGCUCUGCUCAAUGGUACCUGCGGUGCCACAGCAAUCAAAACAAAACAGCGCUGCAAACCAAAGGAGAGAAGAAGGGAAGGAGAGAGAAACAUCAAUCGGUUGCCUCCCACAUGAACCGAGACUGGGGAUUGAACCUGCAUCCUGGGCAUGUGCCCUGACCAGCGAUUGAACCAGCGACCUUUUGGUGCACUGGACAACGCUGAACCAACUGAACUACACUGGCCAGGGCAAUAACUAUUUUCUUUACACAUCAUACUCACGGAUAUUCUGAAUGGAGAGAUGUUCAUAGGGUGUUCUUCAUUAAGAGCAGGUACUUUAGAUAAGCACAUCUCUGUAUACCAGGAAAGUCUAGGAGAAAAGAGUAGUUUUUAACACCACAUUGAGACUAUAAUUGAAGCUGUAUUAAAUCGUAAUGUUUAUACUUAACUCCUGGAAUACAUAAACUUAAUGGAUUAUGUUGGAAUCUCUCCUCAACCUGACUUCUGAAGUUUAAUGAUUGUUUUUUUCCCUAGACAAUGAAAAGAAGCUGUUCCAUAUAAUAAUUUAUAUCACUCCAGACAAAACAUCCAGCUUGCCCUGCUUCACAGUACAGAACAAAAUGAACAUUGCACCCUCUGCAUUUUACUCAUGGUUUAAUUUUAGACCCUGACCUGCUGAAUUGGUUUUUAUUUGUCCUUCCCUUUUAUGCACCCCCUAGGAAGUCAGGAACUCAGCAGAAAAUGGUACCUGUUUCUCCAUAGACUGAGUAACUAAGGAGGAUUACUUCUCCUAGCCCUUCCCAUCUACCCUUGAAUUCCCAUGUCCUCGGCUACAAUCAGGUAUGUGUCAUCUGCAUGCUUCCAAUUUGGGGACAAAGAAUACUG